This 143-nucleotide ribosomal RNA is filed under the name uncultured eukaryote. RNAcentral's name for it is "partial 18S ribosomal RNA". It matches the Rfam family "Eukaryotic small subunit ribosomal RNA", at positions 1299 to 1458 of the family's 1831-position model. The record is from RNAcentral.
UGGUGGAGUGAUUUGUCUGGUUAAUUCCGUUAACGAACGAGACCUGGACCUGCUAAAUAGUUCAACGAAGCCUUCGGGCUUGGUCUGCGACUUCUUAGAGGGACUAUUGUGUGCGUAGCCAGUGGAAGUUCCAGGCAAUAACA